UGAGGAAUAUUGGUCAAUGGGCGCAAGCCUGAACCAGCCAUCCCGCGUGCAGGAAGACGGCGCUAUGCGUUGUAAACUGCUUUUCCAGGGAGAGAAGCUUGCGCACGUGUUGCGCAAUUGACGGUACCCUGGGAAUAAGCAUCGGCUAACUCCGUGCCAGCAGCCGCGGUAAUACGGAGGAUGCGAGCGUUAUCCGGAUUCAUUGGGUUUAAAGGGUGCGUAGGCGGACUAUUAAGUCAGUGGUGAAAUCCUGCAGCUUAACUGCAGAACUGCCAUGGAUACUGAUAGCCUUGAGUUUGGUUAAGGUAGGCGGAAUGUGUAAUGUAGCGGUGAAAUGCUUAGAUAUUACACAGAACACCAAUUGCGUAGGCAGCUUACUGAGCCGACACUGACGCUGAGGCACGAAAGCGAGGGGAUCGAACAG
Molecule: ribosomal RNA, 424 nt
Filed under: uncultured bacterium
Lineage: Bacteria
Description: bacterial SSU rRNA
Rfam family: Bacterial small subunit ribosomal RNA
Source: RNAcentral